GCCUCCAUAGCUCAGUUGGUAGAGCCACUGAUUUGUAAUCAGUAGGUCGGCGGUUCAAGUCCGUCUGGAGGCU
Molecule: transfer RNA, 73 nt
Filed under: Cryomorphaceae bacterium
Lineage: Bacteria; Pseudomonadati; Bacteroidota; Flavobacteriia; Flavobacteriales; Cryomorphaceae
Also listed under: 2 other names
Description: tRNA-Thr
Rfam family: tRNA
About the family: Transfer RNA (tRNA) molecules are approximately 80 nucleotides in length.
Source: RNAcentral